This 819-nucleotide ribosomal RNA is filed under the name uncultured bacterium. Its description in RNAcentral is "bacterial SSU rRNA". It matches the Rfam family "Bacterial small subunit ribosomal RNA", at positions 678 to 1496 of the family's 1533-position model. The record is from RNAcentral.
GGAGCGGAUACCAUUUCCCCAGGAACAGUAAUGACAUGAUCCGCCAGGCUGGUACCGAGUUGGAUCCCAUAGUACGGCGGCCAGUGGUUGGAAUCGGCUUAUUAGAUACCCUGGUAGUCCACCCCGUAAACGAUGAUUAUAGGUGUCGGGGGACCCAAGGUCUCCGGGUGCGGGCGCAAACGCAUUAAGUAAUCCACCUGGGGAGUACGUUCGCAAGAAUGAAACUCAAAGGAAUGACGGGGGACCGGCACAAGCGGUGGAGCAUGUGGUNUAUUCGAAGCAACGCGAAGAACCUUACCUGGUCUUGACAUCCGNGUGACGCAUGGGCAAUGCCAUGUUUCCCUCAGGACACCGGAGACAGGUGGUGCAUGGUUGUCGUCAGCUCGUGUCGUGAGAUGUUGGGUUAAGUCCCGCAACGAGCGCAACCCCUAUUUCCAGUAACCAGCAUUUCGGAUGGGGACUCUGGAGAGACUGCCCGGGAGAACCGGGAGGAAGGCGGGGAUGACGUCAAAUCAUCAUGCCCCUUAUGGCCAGGGCGACACACGUGCUACAAUGGCGUAAACAAAGGGAGGCGAAGUGGCGACACGGAGCAAAUCCCAGAAAUAACGUCCCAGUUCGGAUUGUAGUCUGCAACCCGAGUACAUGAAGCUGGAAUCGCUAGUAAUCGCGAAUCAGAAUGUCGCGGUGAAUACGUUCCCGGGUCUUGUACACACCGCCCGUCACACCAUGGGAGUCGGAAAUGCCCGAAGUCAGUGACCCAACCGCAAGGAGGGAGCUGCCGAAGGUGGAGCCGGUAACUGGGGUGAAGUCGUAACAAGG